GUGCUCGCUUGGGCAGCACAUACACUAAAAUUGGAACAAUACAGAGAAGAUUAGCAUGGCCCUGUGUACGGGUGACCCGCAGAUUCAUGAGGUGUUCCAUAUUUUU
Molecule: small nuclear RNA, 106 nt
Organism: Mustela putorius furo (domestic ferret)
Lineage: Eukaryota; Metazoa; Chordata; Mammalia; Carnivora; Mustelidae
Source: Ensembl